CCUACGGGAGGCAGCAGUGGGGAAUUUUGCGCAAUGGGGGCAACCCUGACGCAGCAACGCCGCGUGAGUGAUGAAGGCCUUCGGGUCGUAAAGCUCUGUCAGAGGGGAAGAAAUGCAGGUGGUGAACAACCAUUCUGUUUGACGGUACCCUCAAAGGAAGCACCGGCUAACUCCGUGCCAGCAGCCGCGGUAAUACGGAGGGUGCGAGCGUUGUUCGGAAUUAUUGGGCGUAAAGCGCGUGUAGGCGGUUUGGUAAGACGGGUGUAAAAGCCCCGGGCUCAACCGGGGAAGUGCAUUGGAUACUGGAAGGCUGGAGUACGGGAGAGGAGAGUGAAAUUCCGAGUGUAGGAGUAAAAUCCGUAGAUAUGGGGAGGAACACCGGUGGCGAGGGCGGCCCUC
This 399-nucleotide ribosomal RNA is filed under the name uncultured Geobacteraceae bacterium. RNAcentral's name for it is "partial 16S ribosomal RNA". It matches the Rfam family "Bacterial small subunit ribosomal RNA", at positions 338 to 729 of the family's 1533-position model. Lineage: Bacteria; Pseudomonadati; Thermodesulfobacteriota; Desulfuromonadia; Geobacterales; Geobacteraceae. The record is from RNAcentral.